GAUGAACGCUGGCGGCGUGCCUAAUACAUGCAAGUCGAGCGAACGGACGAGAAGCUUGCUUCUCUGAUGUUAGCGGCGGACGGGUGAGUAACACGUGGAUAACCUACCUAUAAGACUGGGAUAACUUCGGGAAACCGGAUCUAAUACCGGAUAAUAUUUUGAACCGCAUGGUUCAAAAGUGAAAGACGGUCUUGCUGUCACUUAUAGAUGGAUCCGCGCUGCAUUAGCUAGUUGGUAAGGUAACGGCUUACCAAGGCAACGAUGCAUAGCCGACCUGAGAGGGUGGUCGGGCACACUGGAACUGAGACACGGUCCAGACUCCUACGGGAGGCAGCAGUUGGGAAUCUUCCGCAAUGGGCGGAAGCCUGACGGAGCAACGCCGCGUGGGUGAUGAAGGUCUUCGGAUCGUAAAACUCUGUUAUGAGGGAAGAACAUAUGUGUAAGUAACUGUGCACAUCUAGACGGUAACUAAUAAGAAAGCCACGGCUAACUACGUG
This 497-nucleotide ribosomal RNA is filed under the name uncultured bacterium. Its description in RNAcentral is "partial 16S ribosomal RNA". It matches the Rfam family "Bacterial small subunit ribosomal RNA", at positions 28 to 507 of the family's 1533-position model. The record is from RNAcentral.